UGGGGUGUAGCUCAGUGGUAGAGUGCUUGCCUGUCUGCCUGUCGUUCGCAAGGCCCUGGGUUCAAUCCCCAGCACUGAAA
RNAcentral lists this transfer RNA (80 nucleotides) under Ictidomys tridecemlineatus (thirteen-lined ground squirrel). RNAcentral describes it as "Spermophilus tridecemlineatus (thirteen-lined ground squirrel) tRNA". It matches the Rfam family "tRNA". Rfam says of the family: Transfer RNA (tRNA) molecules are approximately 80 nucleotides in length. Their secondary structure includes four short double-helical elements and three loops (D, anti-codon, and T loops). The record is from Rfam by way of RNAcentral. Lineage: Eukaryota; Metazoa; Chordata; Mammalia; Rodentia; Sciuridae.